This 323-nucleotide long non-coding RNA is filed under the name Mus musculus (house mouse). RNAcentral's name for it is "long non-coding RNA chr17:14203771-14204094". The record is from RNAcentral. Lineage: Eukaryota; Metazoa; Chordata; Mammalia; Rodentia; Muridae.
CUCCCCGCCCCCGGCUGCAGGUCGCUUAGGUGGGUUGGGACCUAUCGCUGGCCGCGGAGGGCGGUGUUUGCGACGCCCGAGGUCACAGCGGCCGCCCCCUGCCCGCCCCGUCGACCGGCCGCGCCCUCGCCCAACCCCUGCGCCCCUGGGACCUAUGAGCUCAUCGGGGAAGGCCAAAAGCCCCUCCGCAGAGGGACAGAGAGGAGCUUAAGCAUAGGCAAAGGUUUUGUUUAGGUUUUUAAAUUUAAAAAAAUUACAAAAGAAAAAAAUUUACAUUGCAAGACGCACGUUCCUAUUUGUAAGCUGAUUAAAAUGGAAAAUCC